Long non-coding RNA from Quercus robur (English oak), 563 nucleotides. RefSeq lists it as uncharacterized. NCBI's taxonomy places the organism in Eukaryota, Viridiplantae, Streptophyta, Magnoliopsida, Fagales, Fagaceae. The transcript has 2 exons. The record is from RefSeq and is a predicted model, not a curated record.
UGUUCAAACCACUUCACUAGAUUUCCACCUUCAAGUGCUUCUGAUCUCCAAAAUUUCUCAUUAUUUGUGAGUUCUAUUUCUCAUCAAAUUCAUGCCAUAUAGUAUGGUGUCCCAAAAUCUAUUUUUCCCCCUUUAGAAGUCCAGUGCCUAUUCAGACUUAAAAAAAAAAAAAAAAAACAAAAACAAAAAAAAAAAAAAAAAAAAAAAAAAAAAACAACAACAACAACAACAGUGCUCGAGUAAUAGUUUUGAUUACAUUAAUGGAGCACUUGUGUCAACUGGAAUCAAUGUGAGAAUAUUGCAGGCAAAUCUGAUUUAUAAGUGUGAUAAAGACACCUGACAACUCCCCAUGUGCCAUCUGCAGAAGGUACGCAAAAAAGUAAAGUAACUUUUAUUUUUCGAUCUGACCCUCUGUAACAUGUUUCACACGUUUAUUAUUCUAAGGCUGUACAAAACAUUAUUAAGUACGUUGGUAACAUUACAGAGGUAUGGGCAUAAAUGCAAGCUGGUAUUUUUUAUUUACUUUCUUACUCACCAUAAAGCUAAUCAUGGCUUACCAUAAA